Molecule: ribosomal RNA, 20 nt
Filed under: Epicoccum nigrum
Lineage: Eukaryota; Fungi; Ascomycota; Dothideomycetes; Pleosporales; Didymellaceae
Description: partial large subunit ribosomal RNA
Source: RNAcentral
GGGAUACCCGCUGAACUUAA